Molecule: ribosomal RNA, 468 nt
Filed under: uncultured bacterium
Lineage: Bacteria
Description: partial 16S ribosomal RNA
Rfam family: Bacterial small subunit ribosomal RNA
Source: RNAcentral
GACGAACGCUGGCGGCGUGCUUAACACAUGCAAGUCGAACGGAAAGGCCCUGCUUUUGUGGGGUGCUCGAGUGGCGAACGGGUGAGUAACACGUGAGUAACCUGCCCUUGACUUUGGGAUAACUUCAGGAAACUGGGGCUAAUACCGGAUAGGAGCUCCUGCUGCAUGGUGGGGGUUGGAAAGUUUCGGCGGUUGGGGAUGGACUCGCGGCUUAUCAGCUUGUUGGUGGGGUAGUGGCUUACCAAGGCUUUGACGGGUAGCCGGCCUGAGAGGGUGACCGGCCACAUUGGGACUGAGAUACGGCCCAGACUCCUACGGGAGGCAGCAGUGGGGAAUACUGCACAAUGGGCGGAAGCCUGAUGCAGCAACGCCGCGUGCGGGAUGACGGCCUUCGGGUUGUAAACCGCUUUCGCCUGUAACGAAGCGUGAGUGACGGUAAUGGGUAAAGAAGCACCGGCUAACUACGUG